RNAcentral lists this ribosomal RNA (301 nucleotides) under uncultured bacterium. RNAcentral describes it as "partial 16S ribosomal RNA". It matches the Rfam family "Bacterial small subunit ribosomal RNA", at positions 509 to 809 of the family's 1533-position model. The record is from RNAcentral.
CAGUCGCCGCGGUAAUACGGAGGGUGCAAGCGUUAAUCGGAAUUACUGGGCGUAAAGCGCACGCAGGCGGUUUGUUAAGUCAGAUGUGAAAUCCCCGGGCUCAACCUGGGAACUGCAUUUGAAACUGGCAAGCUAGAGUCUCGUAGAGGGGGGUAGAAUUCCAGGUGUAGCGGUGAAAUGCGUAGAGAUCUGGAGGAAUACCGGUGGCGAAGGCGGCCCCCUGGACGAAGACUGACGCUCAGGUGCGAAAGCGUGGGGAGCAAACAGGAUUAGAUACCCGCGUAGUCCCUGUCUCUUAUAA